CAAUAAAGCCACACUUCUAUCUUUGUGGUAUUCGACGUGACUAUCGGUCGGUGCUACUUGGAGAAAUGCAAACCACAUCUCUCUCUCUCUACGUAUAAAAUAGCAACUUCCUCCUCCUUUCUCAUAUCUCUAGGGUUCCUGUUUCCUCCGGUAUCAUUCUCAGUGACCCUUAGGUAGCAUAUGUUUUUGGCGGCUAUAAGUGAAAAAGCUUUCAAAGGGAAAAGAGAUCCGAUAGGAGUCGAAGCUUGAACUCAUGAUUCGGUAUUCGAUUCACAGUGCAAUCGGAUCUUGAUCUGCGCCUAUCCCUGGUGAGAGAAUGAAUCAAUAUACCAUGAUUUCCUCCCAAAAGGUACUUGUAUUACCAGAUCAGCUUUUGACCCGUUGGAUCUUGCUUGUUGUCUUCAAGAGGUUUUCUAUUUCAUCACCAAUAUUUUCUAGUCCAAAGAAUGAAAGGAUACAUCUAUGGAGGGAGAUUGGGCGUCGGCCUAUACUAGUAUUAGUAUCCAGUAGUACUAGUAUCUGGCGGGAUACGUUCCACUGUCAGCCUGAACAACAAUUUUUCAAGAAGGAAGAAGGGGAUCUGGUUAUCGAGCAAUAGCAGGUCACAUCUGACACUCUGACCUGGUUGUACUUCAAAUGGUACUUCUGCAAAUUUGGGUCAGACAUGUGUACGUAAUUCUUGUAAAGUAGUUCAAUUAUGAAGCAACCAUCCAUCACCAUGGAGUUUACAUAAUCGAAGUCACCAUACCAAUUAGGCCUACAGUAGUACUAGUAUCCAAUAGUACUAAUAUCCAGCGGGAUACGUUCACUGGAAGAAGGGGAUCUGGUUGUUGAGCAAUAGCAGGUCACGUCUGACACUCUGACCUGAUUGUACUUCAAAUGGUACUUCUGCAAAAUUGGGUCAAAUAUGUCUACGUAAUUCUUGUAAAGAAGUUCAAUUAUGAAGCAACCAUCUAUCACCAUGGAGUUUACAUAAUCGAAGUCACCAUACCAAUUAGGCCUAUAGUAGUACUAGUAUCUGGCGGGAUACGUUCUACUGUCAGCCUAAACAACAGUUCUUCAAGAAGGAAGAAGGGGAUCUGGUUAUCGAGCAAUAAUAGGUCACGUCUGACACUCUGACCUGACUGUACUUCAAAUGGUACUUCUGCAAAUCUGGGUCAGACAUGUGUACGUAAUUCUUGUAAAGAAGUUCAAUUAUGAAGCAACCAUCCAUCACCAUGGAGUUUACAUAAUCAAAGUCACCAUACCAAUUAGGCCUUUGGGAAUAGCAUUCCUCAACAAGGGACUUCAAAUUUAACAUGGCUUCCGUACAUUCUGCUACUGUUGCCACAAGUGUUCCAUUUUGCUCAAGUAGCUCACUCAUAUACCUCUUUUUCACCGCCACAAUUGCCUCUUGGACGAUAGGCGCCCUCAUAUUGUACACGAAGCACAUCCGGGACCGUAUAAAUGCCCAGGACCCUUGUCGCGGGCAGUUUGCCAGCAAUCGGAGACUCUGUUGCAUGAUCUGUUUUAAUCUAUAUCUCCCUGAACAAUCUCCAUCAUCCUCUGAAGAAGCUCUGAAUUUCCUUCUUCGUCCAUUACCGUAGCUUUGUGUUUGUCUUAAAUUGUCAGGAAUUGUGGGUUGGUUUGAGCAAGCAAGUUAAUACCAGUGCACUGGAUCUAAGCGACUUAUAUGUGUUGUUUUUAUGUACUGAUAAUCUUAUUUAGAGUGAAAAAAAAACAGCGGUUAAAAGAUUAAUUUUUGAUCUCGUAACUCUAUUCA
Long non-coding RNA from Cornus florida, 1762 nucleotides. RefSeq lists it as uncharacterized. The record is from RefSeq and is a predicted model, not a curated record. The transcript has 2 exons. Lineage: Eukaryota; Viridiplantae; Streptophyta; Magnoliopsida; Cornales; Cornaceae.